Molecule: long non-coding RNA, 418 nt
Filed under: Olea europaea subsp. europaea
Lineage: Eukaryota; Viridiplantae; Streptophyta; Magnoliopsida; Lamiales; Oleaceae
Source: RNAcentral
UGCUGAUAAGAUUGUGCGUUCCAUCCAGGACUUGUUCACUUCCUGGGGGCAAGUCAAGACGUCUCGCCCUGCUUCAACCAGUCGUCCUUCUGCUUCUUCAGAGGAAGAUAUGAAGUUCCUCAAGCAGUCGAUAUUUGAGUAUGUGUCCUUUAUGGAUAUGGACAUCGGUCAGGCUAGUGCUGCCAAACAUAAGGAUAAGCUUGAGCAUUUGAGUGCGAAGUUGGCGCAAGCACUGACACUUCCGUCGCUCAAUCUUUCUGCUGAUUUUAAAGCGACGUUGAAAGUUGUCCAUUCCGAGAUUCUCUCCUUGCUGGCCAAAAAUGUUGAACUGAAGGCCAAAAGUACUCAAUAUCUUCGCGCUGUAUCUGAAAGAGAGUCUUUGCUUCUGGAGAUCAACAAAGCUGAGGACGAAUUGAAA